AAAUUCAUCAAACCUAUCUUCACGGAUGAGUCCUACCUUGAACUCUAUAGGAAGCAGAAGAAGCACCUUAACACACAGCAGUUGACAGCCUUUCAGCUGCUGUUUGCCUGGAGGGAUAAAACAGCUCGCAGGGAAGAUGAAAGUUACGGGUAAGGGAUUAGAGGUUCUUUUAAUACUUGUUUCCAGACUGAGGAGAUCUAAUAACAAGUAAAUAAUGGGCUUUUUUCUUUUGCUAUGAAAGCUGGUUAUUUCCCCUAUGUGACAGCAUCUAAUGGAACUUAAUGGCUGAAUGUAAUGUGUCCCCACUGUGUGUGUGUGUGUGUGUUUUUUUUUCCAGAUAUGUACUGCCAAACCACAUGAUGCUGAAAAUAGCUGAAGAACUGCCUAAGGAACCUCAGGGCAUCAUAGCUUGCUGCAACCCAGUACCACCCCUUGUGCGGCAGCAGAUCAACGAAAUGCACCUUUUAAUCCAGCAGGCCCGAGAGAUGCCCCUGCUCAAGUCUGAAGUUGCAGCCGGAGUGAAGAAGAGCGGACCGCUGCCCAGUGCCGAGGUAGAGUGUCGGAUCUGUUUUCUCCCCCGGGAGGGAAAACGUCAAGUCACAGCCAGUGCAAGUACACCUCUGACAGAGGCCUGUGCUGACAGCUGGCAGAAAGCUACUGCCGGCUUGCACGUUUUACAUGCCAGCCUGCUGGUGUCUUUUAAUGCAGAGAUUGGAGAAUGUUCUCUUUGGACCUCACGACUGCUCCCAUGCCCCUCCGGAUGGCUAUCCAAUCAUCCCAACCAGUGGAUCUGUGCCAGUUCAGAAGCAGGCGAGCCUCUUCCCUGAUGAAAAAGAAGAUAACUUGCUGGGUACCACGUGCCUGAUUGCCACAGCUGUCAUCACGUUAUUUAAUGAACCUAGUGCUGAAGACAGUAAAAAGGGUCCAUUGACAGUUGCACAGAAAAAAGCCCAGAACAUCAUGGAGUCCUUUGAAAAUCCAUUUAGGAUGUUUCUGCCCUCACUGGGACAUCGUGCUCCCGUCUCUCAGGCAGCGAAGUUCGAUCCAUCAACCAAAAUCUAUGAAAUCAGCAACCGUUGGAAGCUGGCCCAGGUACAAGUACAAAAAGACUCUAAAGAAGCUGUCAAGAAGAAGGCAGCUGAGCAAACAGCUGCCCGGGAACAGGCAAAGGAGGCGUGCAAAGCUGCAGCAGAACAGGCCGUCUCCGUCCGACAGCAGGUCGUGCUAGAAAAUGCUGCAAAGAAGAGAGAGCGAGCAACAAGCGACCCAAGGACCACAGAACAGAAACAAGAGAAGAAACGACUCAAAAUUUCCAAGAAGCCAAAGGACCCAGAGCCACCAGAAAAAGAGUUUACGCCUUACGACUACAGCCAGUCAGACUUCAAGGCUUUUGCUGGUGAGGAAGUAAUGGGGCCCCAUACAGGGACAUCUGUGCGCGUCAGAGGGGAGGAAGCCAUAAAGAGACCACAAUAUAGGGGCCAAGUGAGUCCUGCACAAGGCAUGGUGCUAGCCAGGAAUUGUUGGAGUAGUCCAGAGAGGCCGUGGCAAUGUGGACAGUCGCCUGCAGCCUCAUUGCCACCUCCUCCACGGGAGCUCACUCAUGGUGGCCUCCAUGGUGGGUUAGCAAGAUCACCUGUCACUUCCAUUGUGACCAGGGCGCCAUCCUUCCUCACUAUCACUUGUGCCCAUAAACCCUCUCUCUCUCUCUCUCUCUCACACACACACACACACACACACACACACACACAAUUUUGUUUGUUGAAAAAUCUCAAAGCCUAUGACAUGAACCCCUAUGGCUGCUUGGGCUGUGAGAGUCCGUCUGCUUUGAAGGGGCUACAGAUGGCAUUCUCGACUCUAGCAGCCUUCGGAGCAACAUGCUCCUUUGGAAAAGAGAAAGCAGAGGCCAGUCCACACAAUGGCCCUUUAUACAGGAGUGUCGCCUCAGAGCCCGAGUUCCUGACGGCAUCACCCAGCACAGAGAUCAGAAUGGAUUUCCUUAUGUGCGGGGGCCACUGCUGUAGCCACCUGCCCCUAAGGUCCUGGGACUAG
Pan troglodytes (chimpanzee) is the source of this 2049-nucleotide long non-coding RNA. The record is from Ensembl. Lineage: Eukaryota; Metazoa; Chordata; Mammalia; Primates; Hominidae.